CUAAUUUCAGCAGUUGCUGAAAAUUUUCUCGUUCAGCACUAUAGCAUUACCCUCCUACUGUUAUCAAUUAUCACAUAAUUAAAAUUUCUUUCAAAAUCCAAAAAACACUCGAAGAGAAAGAAGAGAAGGAUGAGAGCUCACCGAAACCCUAAAGCUCUCCAUCGCCAUCUCCAUCGCCACCAUCGCCGCCAUCGCCGCCGCUAAAGUUAAUCUCCUUUCUGCUUCUGCUAUAAAGCUACUGAAAUCGAGCCAAGGCGCUUCCUUCAUCAACGCGUUUUCAGAUCUAAUUGCAACGCCCAAGCCUCUGAGAUCGAGAGAAAUCGCUUCUUCGGUUAACUCUCCUUGGCCAAUGACGCUCGUGUUCUCCAUCGAUAUUCUAUCCUUUCUCACUCCAAGUGUUCGAUGAAUUGUUUAUUCUCAAGCACUCCAAGUGUCAUGAAAAAUAGGAGAGGAAUGAGAGGCUAUUUUAUAAGUUUCUGAUUGAUAACAUGGAGGAACUGCUUCUUGUCCAACUAUUAGAGAAGCCUGCCAGAAAUAUGGAAGCAUUUUUCGUCGACCGCAGGGUCUAUACAUUAGAUUGAAAGUGAAGUAUGGUUUUUUAUUUAUAUUUAUUGUUCUGUUUUCAUCAUUUAGCCUUUGAGGUGAAAAAAAGAAAGAUAAGAAGAGAUACUAAGUGUUUGAGACUCUACAGAGGCUAGAUCCUUAAAGUAAUGAAAAACUGGCUAGAGAAAAGCACUCAAGUUAUUGUCACUAAUGACAAGCAAAUAUUAGGACUCGGAGAUCUUGGUUGCCAGGCUGUUGUUUUCACAGAUAUUAGUCUUGAGAAAGUUAUUGAGUUCAAUGAUUUUUGCCACACUCAUCAGCUUCCUAUUGCUUUUAUCAAAACUGAAGUUAGAAGUUUUUUUGCAGAGGAAAAGCCAGUUCUGGACUCAGAACUUUGGCAUGCAUGUGCUGGUCUCCUUGUUUCUUUACCUGCAGUUGGGAGCCAUGUGGUGUACUUUUCACAAGGUCAUAGUGAACAAGCGAAGUUUCUAAUAUGUUUCAACUCAAAAUAUUUUCAAGUUGGUUGAUAUUUUGAAGUGUAUUGAGGCACAGUUAUCUAAUCACAGAUCCUGAUGCGGAAGGAACUUGGCAUCAAAAGGAUUUUCUGGAACACUUUCUCCCUCAAUUGCCAAAUUGAAAUACUUGGUUAGCUUAAGAUGCCUUGCUUCCAAUUCCUAAGGUUUCUAUGAUCUUCUGAGAAAGAGAAAGCAUUUCAAGACUCUUCAGACAAAAAUAUAGCAGAUGGUUUGUUUAGAAUUAGUAAAGCUGAUUCUAUCAAGAAACAAGGUAUGAGAAGGACAUGCUAUAUUGGCUGCAGUCACAAUGUGACUGUAGAAGAAGAUGAGCAACUAAGACAACUGAAGUCAGUCACUGGAAGGAGAGAGAGAUUAAUGGGACCGAGAGGAGAUUGUUUGGAGGCUGCUCGUUAACUCCUAGCUUCCCUGUUACUUAGAGCACUUGGUUAAUGCAGGAUGAAUUUUGUUAAACUUGUUGACCAAUUAUAUGAUAUUUUUAGUAUGAUUGAAAAAUAUACUCCCUAAAGGUUUUCUAGGAUUGCAUUCAUAUUUUUAUUUUGAGAUUUUUAUGUAAUUAGAUGAUAUUGAAAUAUUGAAGUUGUUUUAUUUUACUUUUUAAAGAAAAACAAUAAUAGUUAUGUAAAGGAAUAUCAUAUGGAAUUAUGUUUGAAACUA
Long non-coding RNA from Arachis stenosperma, 1733 nucleotides. RefSeq lists it as uncharacterized. NCBI's taxonomy places the organism in Eukaryota, Viridiplantae, Streptophyta, Magnoliopsida, Fabales, Fabaceae. The record is from RefSeq and is a predicted model, not a curated record. The transcript is spliced from 8 exons.